UACGUAGGGUGCGAGCGUUAAUCGGAAUUACUGGGCGUAAAGCGUGCGCAGGCGGUUUUGUAAGCCCGGUGUGAAAUCCCCGGGCUCAACCUGGGAAUGGCAUUUGGGACUGCAAGGCUGGAGUGCGGCAGAGGAGACUGGAAUUCCUGGUGUAGCAGUGAAAUGCGUAGAUAUCAGGAGGAAUACCGAUGGCGAAGGCAGGUCUCUGGGCUGACACUGACGCUCAUGCACGAAAGCGUGGGGAGCAAACAGG
Molecule: ribosomal RNA, 253 nt
Filed under: uncultured bacterium
Lineage: Bacteria
Description: partial 16S ribosomal RNA
Rfam family: Bacterial small subunit ribosomal RNA
Source: RNAcentral